This 425-nucleotide unclassified non-coding RNA is filed under the name soil metagenome. Its description in RNAcentral is "partial contains 5.8S ribosomal RNA, internal transcribed spacer 2, and large subunit ribosomal RNA". The stretch from base 1 to 120 matches the Rfam family "5.8S ribosomal RNA", at positions 35 to 154 of the family's 154-position model. The record is from RNAcentral.
GAUGAAGAACGCAGCGAAAUGCGAUAAGUAGUGUGAAUUGCAGAAUUCCGUGAAUCAUCGAAUCUUUGAACGCACAUUGCGCCUUCUGGUAUUCCGGAAGGCAUGCCUGUUCGAGAGUCAUUAACAACCGUUUCGAUCCCUUUCUUUCAGAAAUUACAAAGAGGAAAAGGGUUUGGUUAUGGUGGAGGAGGGAAAGGGAGCGUUUAGCCUGCAAAAAAAGAGGCUGUGUUCCGCCUCCCCCCCAAAAUUGUACAGGCGGUCGUGUGCGCCCACGCAUCGAGGUGUUGUAAAAGCUGCCACGGCACUUUUCACCUGUGCAGUGCGAGAUUGGCCAGCCGGUUUAAAAACCCCUCCAAACAAUCAAAGGUUGACCUCGGAUCAGGUAGGGAUACCCGCUGAACUUAAGCAUAUCAAUAAGCGGAGGA